CUUCUUGGAAAUGAUCUCUGAUGUAGCAGCCUCUGUAGACUGAAGUAUGCAUUGCCCCCUGCAGGUAAAGAAGUCUGUGGAGAAAGCUUCAUCUGGAAAGAGCUCUGCUUUCUCACUCAUCCUCCAUGUUCUACAGCCUUGUUUUAAAUGAUUCCUUCCACCCCUACCAUGGAUUUAACCACCAUUCUGUCAUUACAACAUCUUCAUAUCAAGGAUGCAGUUCGCUUCCAUUGCCUGUGUACCCAGUCCUGGCUACAAGCUGUGUUCCUGUACUCAACCUCAUACAAAUUCAAACCAUGGGCAAUGUGAUUGAGAGGUGUCCAUGUCCGUUCUACAAGAGUCUCAGAAGAAAGAUAAUUUGUAGAGAGGCAGGACGUGUAAACAGCUCCACACAAGUAGCUAAUCGCCUUUCCAUGUUCUAAAAGGAGCUGGAUGCUAUAGAAACCUAACAAUUGGGUUACCAGCCUCAGGUCUGUCUGUUGGAGACCAGCUCAAAGUCCAGCCGAGGACUAAGGUGAAGUGAAACUGUUGUGGGGAGCCAGGCUAAACCACUGUCUCCUAUAUAGCUGACUAGCAAGGAGGCAUGCUUCCCCAUCCAGUCCCUCCUCCUGACAGUCCAUGAACUAGCUCAGAAGGUGAACACUUCCAGGUGUGGGUCAGUUCUUUUCUUUGAAUGCCAAGGAAAGAAAACUCCAGGGACUGCAGCCACCUUCCUUAUCCAACUCCUUAUUUCUGACAUUAAAAAAAUCAGCCUCUGCCUUUCACAUCCACACAGAGAAGGGUGGGGCCUGACUAAUGAAUGUUUGAGAAGUCCUUUGAGAUCUUAGAUGAAAG
This 834-nucleotide long non-coding RNA is filed under the name Mus spicilegus (steppe mouse). RNAcentral's name for it is "lncRNA (ENSMSIG00000002224.1)". The record is from RNAcentral. Lineage: Eukaryota; Metazoa; Chordata; Mammalia; Rodentia; Muridae.